Molecule: long non-coding RNA, 646 nt
Filed under: Malus domestica (apple)
Lineage: Eukaryota; Viridiplantae; Streptophyta; Magnoliopsida; Rosales; Rosaceae
Description: long non-coding RNA (MDOM_LNC021246)
Source: RNAcentral
GGAAUUUGAUAGGAGCAUAUUUAUGCGACUGAGUUAGCUUGUUAUCAUGCAUUUAUAUUGUUAUUUCUUAGUUAAUUAUGUAUUUUAAGCUAUUUUCGUGUGUUUGUAGGUCCAUAGGCCUUAUGAAGCAAUAAGAUGUAUUUUGGUACAUUUUGGAGCAGUUUUGGGCUUGGAAUGAAUAGCACAUGCAUGGAGCAAGGUGGAUGGACGAAGUUGAAGACUAAAGAAGCUAGGAAUGUGUUAAAAAGAAAGAAGAAUUAAUGUAAAAAGGACAAAGAGCUCAGCCACAAAGGGGUGUCACUCCACCAUCCACCUUUCCAUCAUUGCCAUGCACCACCAUUGCACUCCCUUUGGAUUCCUAUGCCGUGCAUCAUCAUCCAUGUUCCCUCCAUUGACUCAUUUGUUGCAUCAUUCCACCUCCAUUUCCUUUCUCUACCAUGUGCACAAUCAUUCAUUUUCCCUAGCUGCAACACAACUCCAUUUUACCCCCAUGCUUUGCAUCAUCACUUCACUUUCACCUUUGAAUCAUUUCAAACACCACUCAUUGCACUCAAUUACUACACCAUUCCUGAAGGAUAAAUUUUGUCUUAGCUAAGAACAUGUGAGAAUAUUUGAACACAUAUGCAAACUAUUAACACAUUAAAGU